ACAGAAAGGACAGAACCUGGAUCCUUUCCUUCAGUCUUUCUUCAACUCCUGCGAGUCUCCGAAAGCAAAACCCAGCCGCCCAGAACUCACCAUCCUGAGCCCGUCCAACGAGAACAAACAAGAAGCUGUUCAACGACCUGUUCAGGAACAACGCCAACCUUUCGGAGAGGAAACACAACCCUAAACUUCUUUGAGGAAACGCUCUCUGUGGACGGCAUGUACGACUACAUGAUGUUCGUCGGCCGCACGGUGUUCGGCACGGCUGAUUGGCUGAACCACGCUCUGGCCGCCGGGCGGAUCCUCUUCAAAAACACCUUGGAGGCGUACAUGGAUCAAUACCUGCAGAGCAAACUGGAGCAAAUCCUGCAGGAGCACAACGUGGUGUCGCUCAUCACUCAGCUGCAGAGACGCUGUUUUCUGUGAGAGCAGCGAGGAGCUGAAGCCGGAGGAGAAACAGAGCCGAGCCAAGAAGACCUUCGAGGCCAUGAUGAAUUAUUUACCAGAUUUUGUGGUGAAGUUCAUCGGUCAGGACUCAAAAUACGAAGGAGUUCGACUUCUGUUCGACGGGUUCCAGCAGCCCGUCCUCAACAAGCAGAUGACGUACGUCCUGCUGGACAUCGCCGUGCAGGAGCUGUUCCCUUGAGCUCAGCAAGGAGUGAACGAGGCGUGUGGAGAGCGGACGUGUGGAUCUGAAAUCCUCUUUACAUUCCAGUGUAUAUAAACCAUUGAAUAAAGAGACAUAUAUUUAUUGAUCUAA
Gymnodraco acuticeps is the source of this 757-nucleotide long non-coding RNA. RefSeq lists it as uncharacterized. Lineage: Eukaryota; Metazoa; Chordata; Actinopteri; Perciformes; Bathydraconidae. The record is from RefSeq and is a predicted model, not a curated record. The transcript is spliced from 7 exons.